GUACAAUAAACCGUAAACGGGUGCAAAAUACUGGGAGGAGUUGUAGGAAGCAGCUACCUACAAUAGCUGUGAGCGCGAACAGAUUUAUUGGUUUGUUGGUCUUUGCAUCUCAAUAUAUCCAGGGGCCAGUGAUAAAUGCCAGAAAGAGAGAAGAAAGAUAAUUGAUGGGGUUGAUUUCCAACAUGUUCCCUUUAAUGAAUACAAGCAGAACAUGCAGUCAAUAGUCUCCUUCAUUAAGAUAAGAAAGCUUAAAAUGGGAAAUGUUUCGUGACAAGGAGGUAAUGGGACCGUGGAUGCCGAGGAAGC
Molecule: long non-coding RNA, 306 nt
Organism: Papaver somniferum (opium poppy)
Lineage: Eukaryota; Viridiplantae; Streptophyta; Magnoliopsida; Ranunculales; Papaveraceae
Exons: 4
Source: RefSeq, a predicted model, not a curated record